Molecule: ribosomal RNA, 469 nt
Filed under: uncultured bacterium
Lineage: Bacteria
Description: partial 16S ribosomal RNA
Rfam family: Bacterial small subunit ribosomal RNA
Source: RNAcentral
GAUGAGCGCUGGCGGCGCGCCUAACACAUGCAAGUCGAACGGUUAAAGCACCUUUUAGGUGUGUAUAAAGUGGCGAACGGCUGAGUAACACGUGGGCAACCUGCCCUCCUCUUGGGGAUAGCCUCGGGAAACCGAGGAUAAUACCCGAUACUUCAAUGUGGCCGCAUGACGACAUUGAGAAAGCUUUUGCGGAGAAGGAUGGGCCCGCGGCCUGUUAGCUUGUUGGUGGGGUAGAGGCCUACCAAGGCAAUGAUGGGUAGCUGGGUUGAGAGACCGACCAGCCAGAUUGGGACUGGGACACGGCCCAGACUCCUACGGGAGGCAGCAGUGGGGAAUCUUGCACAAUGGGCGAAAGCCUGAUGCAGCGACGCCGCGUGCGGGACGAAGGCCUUCGGGUUGUAAACCGCUUUCAGCAGGGACGAGGCGAUAAGUGACGGUACCUGCAGAAGAAGCCCCGGCUAACUACGUG